AAUAUCAUACUUCACGUGAUCAUUUCUGUAGUUUCACAAACUUUCUACCUAAAGUAGGAGUCGAUGCAACCACGAUGAGCAGACGAAUCUCUUCUUUCCUGAGUGUAAGGACGACUCGGGAACUCUGUUUGUCUACAUUCCCAGUCAUCGGUGAUCGCUCACCUUCUGCACUUUGUGUGGAAGGCAUGGGAGGAUGAGCUGUCCGAGUGUU
This is a small nucleolar RNA of Phymastichus coffea, 211 nucleotides long. RefSeq annotates it as small nucleolar RNA U3. The transcript has a single exon. NCBI's taxonomy places the organism in Eukaryota, Metazoa, Arthropoda, Insecta, Hymenoptera, Eulophidae. The record is from RefSeq and is a predicted model, not a curated record.